CUUGUCGCCGCUUCAUGGGCCGUCCUCUCCAAUCCAGCUAAGAAAUCGGUUUACGACUAUAUCCUUUUGUUAAUUAGAAAUCGAUCUAAGGAUUAUUUGGAAAUAAUUGCGUUUGUGUUGAAUUUCAGGUGGGGUGCAGGUUAAAUUGUAUGGGGCGGCUUAGUACUUGAAUCUUUUUGGGACUGUUAUUGGCUAUAACAUUGCUACAUCUAUAAGCAUGAUGUGAGUUUUAUCAUUAUUAUUAUUAUUAUUAUUAUUAUUAUUAUUAUUACUACUACUACGAUGUAAUGUUUGAAUGUUGUGUUGAUGUUUAGGGGGUGUAUUCGUUUAGGAUUUUAAUAGAUUUCUGCAGACUUUUAAAAUCUGGGCGUAUUCGUUCAAAACUUUUAAAAGUCUAUGAAAAUCUAGAGAUAUUCGUUCAAGACUUUUAAAAUUCUAUAAAAAUCCAGAGGUAUUCGUUUCAAACUUUUAAAAAUCUAUGAAAAUCUAGAGGUAUUUAAAAAUCUAUGGAUUUUAAAAUUGAACUGAUUUUCAUUGAUUUCAUUCAAAAAAUACACAUAAACAAAUCCGACCUCCGACCACGAGAAUUCGAAAGAUUUCAUAUUUCAGCGCCGGCUGGGUUCCGGUGGUCAUGGCUCGAAGAAGCCAAUGGCCGCUGACACCCAGCGAUCGCUGGGCUCGAAGAAACCCUUUAUUGCCGAGGCUAGUGCCUUUGAUGCAGAUGAGUCGAAGAGUCCACGUGGAAGUCCAGGGAGGCCAACAACAUACGAAAGUCCGUCUAUGUGUCUCUUCUUCGCGACACUUGUCCUACAAGAUAAUUUGUUUAAUAAUUAAAGGCAGCUUAGUUUCUUUCUCUAGCAUAUCAGCACUGUAUAAAUUUGGUGUUAUGUUACUUAUACUUUAAGUACAGUUAUGAGCUGAAAUUUAUUCCAUUUCAUCUUUCCAAUUCCUAUUUCUAUUUCAUCUUCCUACUCUAUCAUCAUUACUAUCAGGAUCCCGGCGGUGCAAAGAACGAAGAAAAAUAUUUGUUCGGCUCUACCGAUUUUGGUGCAAGUCCUGAAAGAAGCAUCUCUCUUCGUGCAGAAAGUGCCUUCCCAAAGAGUAAAGUUUUAAUAAGCCAGCGAUCGCUGGGCGCUGGGUCCAACGCUCGUUUAAAGCCAACGACCGCUGGGAUUUUUUGUUUGAAAUCCAUAAAAUUCACGUCAAAUUCUUGUUAAAAUCCGUUAAAAAUCUAGCAGACUCCUGUUUUGUAGUAGCCCGCUCUUUUA
Molecule: long non-coding RNA, 1268 nt
Filed under: Salvia miltiorrhiza (redroot sage)
Lineage: Eukaryota; Viridiplantae; Streptophyta; Magnoliopsida; Lamiales; Lamiaceae
Description: long non-coding RNA (SMIL_LNC000628)
Source: RNAcentral